Molecule: ribosomal RNA, 372 nt
Filed under: uncultured organism
Description: partial 16S ribosomal RNA
Rfam family: Bacterial small subunit ribosomal RNA
Source: RNAcentral
GUAGGUGGCAAGCGUUGUCCGGAAUUAUUGGGCGUAAAGCGCGCGCAGGCGGUUCUUUAAGUCUGAUGUGAAAGCCCACGGCUCAACCGUGGAGGGUCAUUGGAAACUGGAGAACUUGAGUACAGAAGAGGAAAGCGGAAUUCCACGUGUAGCGGUGAAAUGCGUAGAGAUGUGGAGGAACACCAGUGGCGAAGGCGGCUUACUGGUCUGUAACUGACGCUGAGGCGCGAAAGCGUGGGGAGCAAACAGGAUUAGAUACCCUGGUAGUCCACGCCGUAAACGAUGAGUGCUAAGUGUUAGGGGGUUUCCGCCCCCCUUAGUGCUGCAGCUAACGCAUUAAGCACUCCGCCUGGGAGUACGGCCGCAAGGCUG